UGAAGCCAAGCUUGCUUGGUGGAUCAGUGGCGAACGGGUGAGUAACACGUGAGCAACCUGCCCUGGACUCUGGGAUAAGCGCUGGAAACGGCGUCUAAUACUGGAUAUGAGCUCUCAUCGCAUGGUGGGGGUUGGAAAGAUUUUUCGGUCUGGGAUGGGCUCGCGGCCUAUCAGCUUGUUGGUGAGGUAAUGGCUCACCAAGGCGUCGACGGGUAGCCGGCCUGAGAGGGUGACCGGCCACACUGGGACUGAGACACGGCCCAGACUCCUACGGGAGGCAGCAGUGGGGAAUAUUGCACAAUGGGCGGAAGCCUGAUGCAGCAACGCCGCGUGAGGGAUGACGGCCUUCGGGUUGUAAACCUCUUUUAGCAGGGAAGAAGCGAGAGUGACGGUACCUGCAGAAAAAGCGCCGGCUAACUACGUGCCAGCAGCCGCGGUAAUACGUAGGGCGCAAGCGUUAUCCGGAAUUAUUGGGCGUAAAGAGCUCGUAGGCGGUUUGUCGCGUCUGCUGUGAAAUCCCGAGGCUCAACCUCGGGCCUGCAGUGGGUACGGGCAGACUAGAGUGCGGUAGGGGAGAUUGGAAUUCCUGGUGUAGCGGUGGAAUGCGCAGAUAUCAGGAGGAACACCGAUGGCGAAGGCAGAUCUCUGGGCCGUAACUGACGCUGAGGAGCGAAAGGGUGGGGAGCAAACAGGCUUAGAUACCCUGGUAGUCCACCCCGUAAACGUUGGGAACUAGUUGUGGGGACCAUUCCACGGUUUCCGUGACGCAGCUAACGCAUUAAGUUCCCCGCCUGGGGAGUACGGCCGCAAGGCUAAAACUCAAAGGAAUUGACGGGGACCCGCACAAGCGGCGGAGCAUGCGGAUUAAUUCGAUGCAACGCGAAGAACCUUACCAAGGCUUGACAUACACCAGAACACCGUAGAAAUACGGGACUCUUUGGACACUGGUGAACAGGUGGUGCAUGGUUGUCGUCAGCUCGUGUCGUGAGAUGUUGGGUUAAGUCCCGCAACGAGCGCAACCCUCGUUCUAUGUUGCCAGCACGUAAUGGUGGGAACUCAUGGGAUACUGCCGGGGUCAACUCGGAGGAAGGUGGGGAUGACGUCAAAUCAUCAUGCCCCUUAUGUCUUGGGCUUCACGCAUGCUACAAUGGCCGGUACAAAGGGCUGCAAUACCGUGAGGUGGAGCGAAUCCCAAAAAGCCGGUCCCAGUUCGGAUUGAGGUCUGCAACUCGACCUCAUGAAGUCGGAGUCGCUAGUAAUCGCAGAUCAGCAACGCUGCGGUGAAUACGUUCCCGGGUCUUGUACACACCGCCCGUCAAGUCAUGAAAGUCGGUAACACCUGAAGCCGGUGGCCCAACCCUUG
RNAcentral lists this ribosomal RNA (1363 nucleotides) under Actinomycetes bacterium. Its description in RNAcentral is "bacterial SSU rRNA". It matches the Rfam family "Bacterial small subunit ribosomal RNA", at positions 70 to 1444 of the family's 1533-position model. The record is from RNAcentral. Lineage: Bacteria; Bacillati; Actinomycetota; Actinomycetes.